Molecule: long non-coding RNA, 505 nt
Filed under: Oncorhynchus kisutch (coho salmon)
Lineage: Eukaryota; Metazoa; Chordata; Actinopteri; Salmoniformes; Salmonidae
Description: lncRNA (ENSOKIG00005042086.1)
Source: RNAcentral
UGUACACGCUGGUAAACUGCUCGGUGCGCUGGGCCUACAUGCUGGCCAUCGUUGGCAUCAUGGACGCCCUCAUCCUCUCCUUCCUGGCCUUCGUUUUGGGCAACCGGCAGAAUGACUUCCAGCUGGAGGAGCAGCUCAAAGUAGAACAGAAAGAUUUUGCAGUGUCCAGGAUUGAAAUCCGGGAGAUCAAGGAUCCACGAUAUGGUGUCCAACUGUUCCACUGAGCAUCCCCCCCAACCUUCCCCUCCUCUCCUUCCUCUCUUCUGCUCGUCACCUCAGCUCUUCAGGUCCAACCAUCGGUCUUGAAGUGGAGGCUCCAUCCAGCUGUUUGUAAAAAUAGAAAUGAAAUGGAAGAGAAAAUAUGUCUGUUUGAAGAGAACUACGAUAAAAAUUAAUAAUAUUAUCAGCUUUAUAAAACUCUGGGAAAAUAAUAAAUGAUAUACAGUAUUAAUUAAUUAUCACAUAUUACUGUAACAAAGGUAAUUAAGUUAUUGAUGAUGAUAAU